GCCCUGGUAGCUCAGCGGACAGAGCAGCACACUACGGAUGUGCGUUGUCGGGAGUUCGAAUCUCUCCCAGGGUG
This 74-nucleotide transfer RNA is filed under the name Candidatus Melainabacteria bacterium. RNAcentral's name for it is "tRNA-Arg". It matches the Rfam family "tRNA". From Rfam's summary of the family: Transfer RNA (tRNA) molecules are approximately 80 nucleotides in length. RNAcentral also lists the same sequence under 1 other name. The record is from RNAcentral. Lineage: Bacteria; Bacillati; Candidatus Melainabacteria.